GAAAUGGAUACAGGCUGUGGAAGAACUCAAAAUGCAAUUCAAAAAACAAUUAAGAGAGGCUGAAGACAGUUGGGGGAAAAAAAACUUAAAAACUAAGAUAAGUCAUCUGGAAAUAGGCACUUGAACUAAAAGGAGAAAAUAGUGUCUUGAAAGCCAAAAUCAACCAGCUGGAAAAUGAGGCAAAGGAGAUGAAAGAUGAGGCAAAGAACAUGAAAGAUGAGGCAAAGUAGAUGAAAGAUGAGGUAAAGAGGAUGAAAAAUGACCUCCAUAGAAAGUCAGACCAUAAAGAGAAAGAUGACCAAAAGCCAGGGAAGAAAUCCAGUCUUUAAGAAUGAGAAUACAACAACUAGAACUAAGUGAACUCAUAAAGCUGCAGGACACUAUAAAAGAAGACCAAAAGAAUGAAAACAUUGAGGAAAAUAUGAAGCAUCUCCUUCACAAAACAGAGGAUUUAUAAAAUUGUUUGAGGAGAGACAAUUUAAGAAUCAUUGGUCUACCAGAAGACCGUGACCAAAGAAAAAUCCUGGACACAAUACUAUAGGACAUUAUUCAAGAAAACUUCCCUGAUAUUCUAAAACAAGAGGAAAAAGUUGAGAUUGAAAGAAUCCACAGACCACCUCCUGCACUUAAUCCCCAACUGACAACACCCAGGAAUGUUAUAGCCAAAUUCAAGAAUUAUCAGACCAAAUAAAAGAUAUUACAAGCUGCCAAGAAGAAGUCAUUCAUUCAAAUACUAUGAAACCACAGUGAAGAUAAGGCAGGAUCUGGCUGCAACUACACUGAAGGACUGAAAGUCAUGGAAUAUGAUAUUCUGGAAAACAAAGGAACUAGGUCUACAACCAAGAAUCAACUACACAGCAAAACUGACUAUAUUCUUGCAGGGGAAAGUGUGGUCAUUCAAGAAAAUAGAAGAAUUCCAAGAAUUUGUAAAGAAAAGACCAGACCUGAACAGAAAAUUUGAUGUCCAAGCAAGAACUCAAGAGAAUCAUCAAAAGAUCUACCAGGAGACCAUCACUUUCAGUAGUAAAUCAUUCUUCUGUUCCUUUACUGUAUGACAGUACAGGAUAUCUUCCAAAACCCCAUUGAAAAUAUGAGCAUUAUCAAUGGCCCAAGUAGGCAUUUCAGGAUCUGAGCUGAGAAGUUCACUGAAUAGCAGAGAAACUCCAAGGCGAAGUCAAAUAGCCUCUAUUUACAUAAGCAUCUAACAAGAAGUGAUUUCUACAAGAUCUAUAUGUAUAUCUACACACAUAGUUCUUUUCAACUAAUGUAUACCUACUUAAUUUAUCUAUCUACUUAAUAUAUGCCUAUGUAAUAUAUCCAUUUAAUAUACUGCAUAUAUAAAUGAAAAAUAAGAAGAGAAAGAGAAUUAGAAGCACCAGAGGAAGAGGGAGAAAGGGAAGGAAGAGAGGGAUUAUAAGGGAAGUGAAAGGAAAAGAAGACAGGAGAGGGAAGAAAUGAAGGGAAGAAAUGAAGAAGAUAGGAGGGAGAAAAGUAUACCAACAUCAAUAAACCUUCUGAAAAAAAAAAAAACUGCCCUAUC
This 1540-nucleotide long non-coding RNA is filed under the name Monodelphis domestica (gray short-tailed opossum). Its description in RNAcentral is "lncRNA (ENSMODG00000041088.1)". The record is from RNAcentral. Lineage: Eukaryota; Metazoa; Chordata; Mammalia; Didelphimorphia; Didelphidae.